RNAcentral lists this ribosomal RNA (1439 nucleotides) under uncultured bacterium. Its description in RNAcentral is "bacterial SSU rRNA". It matches the Rfam family "Bacterial small subunit ribosomal RNA". The record is from RNAcentral.
CGCUAUCUACAGGCUUAACACAUGCAAGUCGAGGGGCAGCAUGGUCUUAGCUUGCUAAGGCCGAUGGCGACCGGCGCACGGGUGAGUAACACGUAUCCAACCUGCCGUCUACUCUUGGACAGCCUUCUGAAAGGAAGAUUAAUACAAGAUGGCAUCAUGAGUCCGCAUGUUCACAUGAUUAAAGGUAUUCCGGUAGACGAUGGGGAUGCGUUCCAUUAGAUAGUAGGCGGGGUAACGGCCCACCUAGUCUUCGAUGGAUAGGGGUUCUGAGAGGAAGGUCCCCCACAUUGGAACUGAGACACGGUCCAAACUCCUACGGGAGGCAGCAGUGAGGAAUAUUGGUCAAUGGGCGAGAGCCUGAACCAGCCAAGUAGCGUGAAGGAUGACUGCCCUAUGGGUUGUAAACUUCUUUUAUAAAGGAAUAAAGUCGGGUAUGGAUACCCGUUUGCAUGUACUUUAUGAAUAAGGAUCGGCUAACUCCGUGCCAGCAGCCGCGGUAAUACGGAGGAUCCGAGCGUUAUCCGGAUUUAUUGGGUUUAAAGGGAGCGUAGAUGGAUGUUUAAGUCAGUUGUGAAAGUUUGCGGCUCAGCCGUAAAAUUGCAGUUGAUACUGGAUAUCUUGAGUGCAGUUGAGGCAGGCGGAAUUCGUGGUGUAGCGGUGAAAUGCUUAGAUAUCACGAAGAACUCCGAUUGCGAAGGCAGCCUGCUAAGCUGCAACUGACAUUGAGGCUCGAAAGUGUGGGUAUCAAACAGGAUUAGAUACCCUGGUAGUCCACACGGUAAACGAUGAAUACUCGCUGUUUGCGAUAUACUGCAAGCGGCCAAGCGAAAGCGUUAAGUAUUCCACCUGGGGAGUACGCCGGCAACGGUGAAACUCAAAGGAAUUGACGGGGGCCCGCACAAGCGGAGGAACAUGUGGUUUAAUUCGAUGAUACGCGAGGAACCUUACCCGGGCUUAAAUUGCAGAUGAAUUACGGUGAAAGCCGUAAGCCGCAAGGCAUCUGUGAAGGUGCUGCAUGGUUGUCGUCAGCUCGUGCCGUGAGGUGUCGGCUUAAGUGCCAUAACGAGCGCAACCCUUGUUGUCAGUUACUAACAGGUUCCGCUGAGGACUCUGACAGGACUGCCAUCGUAAGAUGUGAGGAAGGUGGGGAUGACGUCAAAUCAGCACGGCCCUUACGUCCGGGGCUACACACGUGUUACAAUGGGGGGUACAGAGGGCCGCUACCACGCGAGUGGAUGCCAAUCCCCAAAACCUCUCUCAGUUCGGACUGGAGUCUGCAACCCGACUCCACGAAGCUGGAUUCGCUAGUAAUCGCGCAUCAGCCACGGCGCGGUGAAUACGUUCCCGGGCCUUGUACACACCGCCCGUCAAGCCAUGGGAGCCGGGGGUACCUGAAGUGCGUAACCGCGAGGAGCGCCCUAGGGUAAAACUGGUGACUG